AUUUUGCCAAACGGCGUUAGCGAUGGAAAUCGGAUUAAUAUUUCCGAGCCGGACAUAGUUUAUCUCUUUCGUGACGCUCUUAAUAUCGAUCGCAUCUUAUUGAAUUGAGAGGUAAAAUUAAAUUUUUACCGAGCUCGUUAAAAUGGAGCCAAGAAAAGCGUUAGAGGAAUUGCUUCGUCCGUCCGUACCGCAAACCGACACAGGUGGGUAAGUUCAGUACACUAAGGCGUAAGAGUGAACCCUUGUUAAGGAACUCUGCAAUCUAGCCCCGUAACUUUGGAAAAAGGGGUGCCUGCAAAAAACAGGUCGCAGCUAAGAAGAUCAACCGACUGUUUAUCAAAAACACAGCAUUGUGCAAAGACGAAAGUCUAUGUAUACGAUGUGACACGUGACCAAUGCGGAAAGAUUAAGGUAAGGUGUUAGCUGUAAAGCAAAGCUCUGAACCUAAGUCCCCGUGAAUGUCGGCCGUAACGAUAACGGUCCUAAGGUAGCGAAAUUCCUUGUCGGGUAAGUUCCGACCUGCACGAAUCGUGUAACGAGUUGAUCGCUGUCUCAACAAGGUGCUCUGUGAAUUUGUAGUGGCGGUGCAGAUGCCGCCUACCUGCGGAAGGACGGAAAGACCCUAUGCACCUUAACUGUACGCUGUCACUGGCUCCCUGAUUUCAAUGCUCAGAGUAAGUGGUAGACUUUGAUCUUCAUCUUUCGGGACGAAGUGAGUCGCAAAUGAGACACCACCCUUUGGUAUUGGGGUGCCUAAUUGCUAUUGUAGUACAAUACUGAGACAAUGUCAGCCGGUCAGUUUUACUGGGGCGGUAUCCUCCCAAAAUGUAACGGAGGAGCGCGAAAGUGUGCUCAGCGCGGUUGGCAACCGCGUGACGAGUGUAUAGGCAUAAGCACGCUUAACUGAAAGGCUUACAAGCCGAUCAGAUACGAAAGUAGGCCUAAGUGAUCCGGCGGUUUAAUAUGGAAUUGCCGUCGCUUAACGGACAAAAGGUACGCUAGGGAUAACAGGCUGAUUUGACCCAAGAGUUCAUAUCGACGGUUAAGUUUGGCACCUCGAUGUCGGCUCAUCGCAUCCUGGGGCUGGAGAAGGUCCCAAGGGUCCGGCCGUUCGCCGGUUAAAGCGGUACGCGAGCUGGGUUCAGAACGUCGCGAGACAGUUCGGUCCUCUAUCCUCCGUAGGCGUUAGAAAAUUGAAGGGUUUACUUCCUAGUACGAGAGGACCGGAAGUAACGCGCCUCUGGUGCUCCAGUUGUUACAUCAGUAGCAUUGCUGGGCAGCUAUGCGCGGAAAGGAUAAGCGCUGAAAGCAUCUAAGCGCCAAGCCCCUCCUGAGAUUAAUUUUCUUCGAAGAUCGUGGAAGACUACCACGCCGAUAGGGUGCGGGUGUAAGCAAGGUAACUUGAUCAGCCUAGUGCUACUAAUCAUCUG
RNAcentral lists this ribosomal RNA (1430 nucleotides) under metagenome. RNAcentral's name for it is "bacterial LSU rRNA". It matches the Rfam family "Bacterial large subunit ribosomal RNA", at positions 1396 to 2911 of the family's 2925-position model. The record is from RNAcentral.